UAGAGCCACACCACCCUGAACACGCUCAAUCUCAUCUGGUCCUGGGAGCUAAGCAGGGUUGGGCCUGGUUAGUGCUUGGAAGGGAGACAGACGUGGUCUAGCAGGUGAUGGCAGUGU
Molecule: ribosomal RNA, 117 nt
Filed under: Ochotona princeps (American pika)
Lineage: Eukaryota; Metazoa; Chordata; Mammalia; Lagomorpha; Ochotonidae
Source: RNAcentral